UGGGGGAUAUUGGACAAUGGGCGCAAGCCUGAUCCAGCCAUGCCGCGUGUGUGAAGAAGGCCUUCGGGUUGUAAAGCACUUUUGGCNGGGAGGAAGGNNUUNNGGUUAAUACCUNGANGNAUUGACGUUACCCNCAGAAUAAGCACCGGCUAACUCCGUGCCAGCAGCCGCGGUAAUACGGAGGGUGCAAGCGUUAAUCGGAAUUACUGGGCGUAAAGCGCGCGUAGGCGGUUUGUUAAGUCAGAUGUGAAAUCCCCGGGCUCAACCUGGGAACUGCAUUUGAAACUGGCAAGCUAGAGUCUGGUAGAGGGGGGUGGAAUUCCAGGUGUAGCNGUGAAAUGCGUAGAGAUCGGGAGGAACACCGGUGGCGAAGGCGGCCCCCUGGACCGAUACUGACGCUCAGGUGCGAAAGCGUGGGGAGCAAAC
This 426-nucleotide ribosomal RNA is filed under the name gamma proteobacterium SCGC AAA044-A02. Its description in RNAcentral is "partial 16S small subunit ribosomal RNA". It matches the Rfam family "Bacterial small subunit ribosomal RNA", at positions 355 to 773 of the family's 1533-position model. The record is from RNAcentral. Lineage: Bacteria; Pseudomonadati; Pseudomonadota; Gammaproteobacteria.